Molecule: ribosomal RNA, 806 nt
Filed under: uncultured bacterium
Lineage: Bacteria
Description: bacterial SSU rRNA
Rfam family: Bacterial small subunit ribosomal RNA
Source: RNAcentral
GUGAGGAACCUGCCUCAAAGAGGGGGACAACAGUUGGAAACGACUGCUAAUACCGCAUAAGCCCACGACCCGGCAUCGGGUAGAGGGAAAGGGAGCAAUCCGCUUUGAGAUGGCCUCGCGUCCGAUUAGCUAGUUGGUGAGGUAAUGGCCCACCAAGGCGACGAUCGGUAGCCGGACUGAGAGGUUGAACGGCCACAUUGGGACUGAGACACGGCCCAGACUCCUACGGGAGGCAGCAGUGGGGAAUAUUGCACAAUGGGGGAAACCCUGAUGCAGCGACGCCGCGUGGAGGAAGAAGGUCUUCGGAUUGUAAACUCCUGUUGUUGAGGAAGAUAAUGACGGUACUCAACAAGGAAGUGACGGCUAACUACGUGCCAGCAGCCGCGGUAAAACGUAGGUCACAAGCGUUGUCCGGAAUUACUGGGUGUAAAGGGAGCGCAGGCGGGAAGACAAGUUGGAAGUGAAAUCCAUGGGCUCAACCCAUGAACUGCUUUCAAAACUGUUUUUCUUGAGUAGUGCAGAGGUAGGCGGAAUUCCCGGUGUAGCGGUGGAAUGCGUAGAUAUCGGGAGGAACACCAGUGGCGAAGGCGGCCUACUGGGCACCAACUGACGCUGAGGCUCGAAAGUGUGGGUAGCAAACAGGAUUAGAUACCCUGGUAGUCCACACUGUAAACGAUGAUUACUAGGUGUUGGAGGAUUGACCCCUUCAGUGCCGCAGUUAACACAAUAAGUAAUCCACCUGGGGAGUACGACCGCAAGGUUGAAACUCAAAGGAAUUGACGGGGGCCCGCACAAGCAGUGGAGUA